RNAcentral lists this ribosomal RNA (253 nucleotides) under uncultured bacterium. RNAcentral's name for it is "partial 16S ribosomal RNA". It matches the Rfam family "Bacterial small subunit ribosomal RNA", at positions 524 to 776 of the family's 1533-position model. The record is from RNAcentral.
UACGUAGGUGGCAAGCGUUGUCCGGAUUUACUGGGCGUAAAGAGCGCGCAGGCGGUCGUCCAAGUCGCGUGUGAAAGCCCCCGGCUCAACUGGGGAGGGUCACGCGAUACUGGUCGACUCGAAGGCAGGAGAGGGUAGUGGAAUUCCCGGUGUAGUGGUGAAAUGCGUAGAUAUCUGGAGGAACACCGGUGGCGAAGGCGGCAUCCUGGACCGACACUGACGCUGAGGAGCGAAAGCCAGGGGGGCAAACGGG